Molecule: ribosomal RNA, 253 nt
Filed under: uncultured bacterium
Lineage: Bacteria
Description: partial 16S ribosomal RNA
Rfam family: Bacterial small subunit ribosomal RNA
Source: RNAcentral
UACGUAGGGUGCAAGCGUUAAUCGGAAUUACUGGGCGUAAAGCGUGCGCAGGCGGUGAUGUAAGACAGAUGUGAAAUCCCCGGGCUCAACCUGGGAACUGCAUUUGUGACUGCAUCGCUGGAGUGCGGCAGAGGGGGAUGGAAUUCCGCGUGUAGCAGUGAAAUGCGUAGAGAUCGGCAGGAACACCCAGGGGGAAACCAGCCGACUGGGCAUCUACUGACGCUGAGGUGCGAGAGCGUGGGGAGCGAACCGG